AGAAUCAACGCUGGCGGCGUGCCUAACACAUGCAAGUCGAACGCGAAAGUCCCGAAAGGGAUAAGUAGAGUGGCAAACGGGUGAGUAACACGUGGGUGACCUGCCUUCGAGCGGGGGAUAACGGUCCCGAAAGGGACGCUAAUACCGCAUAACAUCCUGCCUUUUAAGAGGUGGAGAUCAAAGCCGGGGACCGCAAGGCCUGGCACUUGAAGAGGGGCCCGCGUCUGAUUAGCUAGUUGGUGGGGUAACGGCCUACCAAGGCAACGAUCAGUA
This 273-nucleotide ribosomal RNA is filed under the name uncultured bacterium. RNAcentral's name for it is "partial small subunit ribosomal RNA". It matches the Rfam family "Bacterial small subunit ribosomal RNA", at positions 26 to 285 of the family's 1533-position model. The record is from RNAcentral.